CUUGACGGAGCCGAUCCACAGGGGACUGUCGUCGGAGCGGGCCCGUCCGUACGUGGCGAUGAGCGCCUGCGCCUC
This 75-nucleotide antisense RNA is filed under the name Micromonospora carbonacea. RNAcentral describes it as "ASpks TB sRNA". It matches the Rfam family "ASpks TB sRNA". Lineage: Bacteria; Bacillati; Actinomycetota; Actinomycetes; Micromonosporales; Micromonosporaceae. The record is from Rfam by way of RNAcentral.